ACGAAACAAUGGCGGUGGCUGCGGCAGACAGGCUGAUCCACCAUGGAUAGAUCUUCGAGGUAACAGGAGAGAACUACAAAAAGAAAACGUCAAAAGCGGCAAUACAACAGUCAGUUGAAUAGUAGCAUCAGAGCGGUCAGAGUAGUUGACGCGUACCGGCCAAGGUAGUUGACGUCUAAUACGCGUCUGCGUGAGCUGAAUAUGGGCGUGCUGGAACAGCACCGGCUGAAUUCACUCAGAGCUGAGGAAGAGGGCU
RNAcentral lists this ribosomal RNA (256 nucleotides) under Candidatus Erwinia dacicola. RNAcentral's name for it is "partial 16S ribosomal RNA". Lineage: Bacteria; Pseudomonadati; Pseudomonadota; Gammaproteobacteria; Enterobacterales; Erwiniaceae. The record is from RNAcentral.